This is a long non-coding RNA of Salvia splendens (bonfire salvia), 418 nucleotides long. RefSeq lists it as uncharacterized. The record is from RefSeq and is a predicted model, not a curated record. The transcript is spliced from 3 exons. NCBI's taxonomy places the organism in Eukaryota, Viridiplantae, Streptophyta, Magnoliopsida, Lamiales, Lamiaceae.
CUUCUGCAGCUUCCCUCGCUUCCGAAUAUUUCAUCUCAAGACUAUGAGUAUCCAGUUGAAACUUGGGAAACAGUUGACACCAGAAGAUGUAUUCUAUCUGAGAAAUUCUAUCAUCAGUUUCCUAAUAAAAAGCAGGAUGCCUUAGGUUGGGAGACUUUUGGAGAUGGCCUUCCAUUUUCAGCACAAGUGAGAAUAAAGUGGCUACCUAUGAUAACAACUACGCAAAAUGAGUUCCUUUCUCACGCAUGAAUACUGAUAUAGCUUGAAUCUAAAACAAAAGAAGAUCUAAUUAGAAAAUCCAACAAAGAGUGGAGUGAGAGGGCGGUGAAGAAGAAGUUGACCUGAUGAACAACUAGAGUGGUUGAGUUGAGGCUAAGAAGAGAGCGGCGAGCACAAUUCCACGGCGGGGAGCUGAAGU